GACAGAGGGUGCUAGCGUUGUUCGGAAUGACUGGGCGUAAAGGGCGCGUAGGCGGGAAUAUUAGUCAAGCGUGAAAGCCCCAGGCUUAACCUGGGAACAGCGCAUGAAACGGUAUACCUAGAGGACGAGAGAGGGAAGCGGAAUUCCUAGUGUAGAGGUGAAAUUCGUAGAUAUUAGGAGGAACACCAGAGGCGAAGGCGGCUUUCUGGCUCGUAACUGACGCUGAGGCGCGAAAGCGUGGGGAGCAAACAGG
Molecule: ribosomal RNA, 253 nt
Filed under: uncultured bacterium
Lineage: Bacteria
Description: partial 16S ribosomal RNA
Rfam family: Bacterial small subunit ribosomal RNA
Source: RNAcentral